UCGAGCGCGGGAAGCGAGUGGAUCCCUUCGGGGUGAAGCUCGUGGAACGAGCGGCGGACGGGUGAGUAACACGUGGGCAACCUGCCUGUAAGAUCGGAAUAACCCCGGGAAACCGGGGCUAAUGCCGGGUAAUACUUUUCUUCGCAUGAAGAUAAGUUGAAAGAUGGCUUCUCGCUAUCACUUACAGAUGGGCCCGCGGCGCAUUAGCUAGUUGGUGAGGUAACGGCUCACCAAGGCAACGAUGCGUAGCCGACCUGAGAGGGUGAUCGGCCACACUGGGACUGAGACACGGCCCAGACUCCUACGGGAGGCAGCAGUAGGGAAUCUUCCGCAAUGGACGAAAGUCUGACGGAGCAACGCCGCGUGAACGAUGAAGGUCUUCGGAUCGUAAAGUUCUGUUGUCAGGGAAGAACAAGUACCGUGCGAAUAGAGCGGUACCUUGACGGUACCUGACGAGGAAGCCCCGGCUAACUACGUGCCAGCAGCCGCGGUAAUACGUAGGGGGCAAGCGUUGUCCGGAAUUAUUGGGCGUAAAGCGCGCGCAGGCGGUUCCUUAAGUCUGAUGUGAAAGCCCACGGCUCAACCGUGGAGGGUCAUUGGAAACUGGGGAACUUGAGGACAGAAGAGGAGAGUGGAAUUCCACGUGUAGCGGUGAAAUGCGUAGAUAUGUGGAGGAACACCAGUGGCGAAGGCGACUCUCUGGUCUGUUUCUGACGCUGAGGUGCGAAAGCGUGGGUAGCAAACAGGAUUAGAUACCCUGGUAGUCCACGCCGUAAACGAUGAGUGCUAGGUGUUAGGGGGCUUCCACCCCUUAGUGCUGAAGUUAACGCAUU
This 833-nucleotide ribosomal RNA is filed under the name Halobacillus sp. CUA-810. RNAcentral's name for it is "bacterial SSU rRNA". It matches the Rfam family "Bacterial small subunit ribosomal RNA", at positions 49 to 861 of the family's 1533-position model. Lineage: Bacteria; Bacillati; Bacillota; Bacilli; Caryophanales; Bacillaceae. The record is from RNAcentral.